CUCAUCAGCUGAACCACGUAGAUUUCGUUCUGCUUUUUCGUAUCUUAUCAGUUACAAGUUGUCAGAAGAAGAAAGAUUUUCAAAUUUAAUGUAAAUCAGGCAUCGAUUUUUAUCCCAUCUACCUAUACCGAUCUAAGUUAAUUCCAAGUGGACUUGGAGGACAAAUCCCAGUCACGUGACGGGGUCCUAUUCACUUGGACGAGGACCGACUCCACGACCCCGUUUUGCGCGCGUUUUGGGGUUUUCGGCGUCACUCCGCUUGAAUGGAAGAGAGAAGUCGUAAUGCUUAAUAAUCCAAGUCAGAAGGUGACUCAAAGUCAAAUAAGGGGACGUUCAUAAAUUACGGGCUGUUGCGUUACGGGUCAACUUGCCUAACUGGUAAAAAUCGGGGUGAGACCCGUUACGAGGGGGGCAGAGUACACAAUUGGAACCGGCGAAAAUUUGGACACCUUUAAUACCGAAAAAUACGGAGAGUUUUUAACAUAUCGAAAUACUGUGACAGUUGCAGAGGAACAAUGUCAAAUUUAUUGUGAUACAAGGGGAACCUUCUGGCUGAAAAGUUUGAAGGGACGCACUCUUCUCAACGGGAAAUUAGUUCGAGAUUCCCCCGUCGAAUUAAAAUUUGGGGA
Molecule: long non-coding RNA, 629 nt
Organism: Folsomia candida
Lineage: Eukaryota; Metazoa; Arthropoda; Collembola; Entomobryomorpha; Isotomidae
Exons: 4
Source: RefSeq, a predicted model, not a curated record